RNAcentral lists this ribosomal RNA (514 nucleotides) under uncultured bacterium. Its description in RNAcentral is "bacterial SSU rRNA". It matches the Rfam family "Bacterial small subunit ribosomal RNA", at positions 8 to 518 of the family's 1533-position model. The record is from RNAcentral.
AGAGUUUGAUUCUGGCUCAGGACGAACGCUGGCGGCGUGCUUAACACAUGCAAGUCAACGGGGAUAGUUGAUUGAGAGCUUCGGCAGGAAAUUGAUUAAUCGAGUGGCGGACGGGUGAGUAACGCGUGAGCAACCUGUCCCAGACAGGGGGAUAACACUUGGAAACAGGUGCUAAUACCGCAUAAGACCACGGGAUCACAUGGUUCCGGGGUAAAAGGAGCAAUCCGGUUUGGGGUAGGCUCGCGUCCGAUUAGCCAGUUGGCGGGGUAACGGCCCACCAAAGCGACGAUCGGUAGCCGACCUGAGAGGGUGAUCGGCCACAUUGGGACUGAGAUACGGCCCAGACUCCUACGGGAGGCAGCAGUGGGGAAUAUUGGGCAAUGGAGGAAACUCUUACCCAGCAAAUGCCGCGUGAAUGAUGAAGGUCGUAAGAUUGUAAAGUUCUUUAGUCAGGGACAAAGAAAGUGAUGGUACCUGAAGAAUAAGCUCCGGCUAACUACGUGCCAGCCGCAGC